UCUUAAAUCAGUUUCUUUCCACUAUAGAAUAACAGGAACACAUUCUCGUAAAUUAACAAAUGUCUUUCUUAAUAUCUAAAAAUCCAAACAAGAGAGAAGAUAAAUAGAAAAAGAAUAUGGAAAUCCUAGUCUGCUUAAAUAGUUGUUAAAUCCUUGAAACUAGGCAAAACCCCAUGCGUAUUCACCACCAUGGCCAAUAUAGAAAUCUCUGGUAAUUGGGGCUAAAGGAAGGGAAUGAAAUUGGAAGGUUUUUUCUCCUUCAUAUGGAUUUGAAAGUGGAGAGUGUGUUUUACGCGUCAAAUCUGGUUUUCGCUGCUACGGAGGUCAGUCAUGUUGAUGAAAUGUUGUAGGUGGGAGAAUUCCAGGCACGUAGGAGGUGGGGACGACUAAGAGGAGAAGCACCACCGUGGCAGUGCCUCCCUGAUUAAACAACACCGUGGAUUACGGCGGUGCCGACGGGCUCAUAUGGAGAAGAGAUCGGAGGACGUGAUGAAACCUCCAUCACCGGCGUGGACAAUGAUGGAAGCUACAAACCUGGGAAUGAGAGUUGUGGGAGCAGAGAGAAAGAGCGCUUAAAAAUAAAUAAUAAAAAAAAUCAAAUUAUAUUUUUUUUUUAUUCUUCCGGUUGAAGACCUUUUUAAUCA
This 644-nucleotide long non-coding RNA is filed under the name Glycine max (soybean). RNAcentral's name for it is "long non-coding RNA (GMAX_LNC003517)". The record is from RNAcentral. Lineage: Eukaryota; Viridiplantae; Streptophyta; Magnoliopsida; Fabales; Fabaceae.